Long non-coding RNA from Hirundo rustica (Barn swallow), 414 nucleotides. RefSeq lists it as uncharacterized. Lineage: Eukaryota; Metazoa; Chordata; Aves; Passeriformes; Hirundinidae. The record is from RefSeq and is a predicted model, not a curated record. The transcript is spliced from 3 exons.
GCCUGGGUUCAGAGGGAUUAACUGACCCAGGAAAAAUGAUAUGUGAAUUUUUAAAUAAUUUUUGAACCUGACCACUCAAGGCCCUCCCUGCCUGAAUUGACAAUAAUUGAAAGGCUUAUUGACAACACCAAAAGAAACCCCAUGGACCAUAUUGACAAAACAGAUCUUUGGAGUGAUUUGUGGAAGGAAAUCCAGCAGCCACUCCAAGCCAGGGAGUCUGGCAGAGAUCUGCUGCACAAGGGGUUUGGGUCUGGCUGCUCUGCACUGCUGUGUGUGUCCUGAUCCACACAGUAAUCAGCCCCAGCUGGCUCCUGGUAGAAGCUCUGCAACAGCUCCCCAGUCAAAACCAACAAAAAUAAUCAAACCAUAUUAAAUUUUUUUCAAAUGCCAGCCCAUUCUACAGUUUCUGGUGUU